This 640-nucleotide ribosomal RNA is filed under the name uncultured Alphaproteobacteria bacterium. Its description in RNAcentral is "bacterial SSU rRNA". It matches the Rfam family "Bacterial small subunit ribosomal RNA", at positions 28 to 714 of the family's 1533-position model. The record is from RNAcentral. Lineage: Bacteria; Pseudomonadati; Pseudomonadota; Alphaproteobacteria.
AACGAACGCUGGCGGCAUGCCUAAUACAUGCAAGUCGAACGAGAUCUUCGGAUCUAGUGGCGCACGGGUGCGUAACGCGUGGGAAUCUACCCUUGGGUUCGGAAUAACAGUUAGAAAUGACUGCUAAUACCGGAUGAUGAUGUAAGUCCAAAGAUUUAUCGCCCAGGGAUGAGCCCGCGUAGGAUUAGCUAGUUGGUGAGGUAAAGGCUCACCAAGGCUACGAUCCUUAGCUGGUCUGAGAGGAUGAUCAGCCACACUGGGACUGAGACACGGCCCAGACUCCUACGGGAGGCAGCAGUAGGGAAUAUUGGACAAUGGGCGAAAGCCUGAUCCAGCAAUGCCGCGUGAGCGAUGAAGGCCUUAGGGUUGUAAAGCUCUUUUACCCGGGAUGAUAAUGACAGUACCGGGAGAAUAAGCCCCGGCUAACUCCGUGCCAGCAGCCGCGGUAAUACGGAGGGGGCUAGCGUUGUUCGGAAUUACUGGGCGUAAAGCGCACGUAGGCGGCUAUUCAAGUCAGAGGUGAAAGCCCGGGGCUCAACCCCGGAAUUGCCUUUGAAACUAGAUAGCUUGAAUCACGGAGAGGUGGGUGGAAUUCCGAGUGUAGAGGUGAAAUUCGUAGAUAUUCGGAAGAACACCAGUG